RNAcentral lists this ribosomal RNA (253 nucleotides) under uncultured bacterium. RNAcentral's name for it is "partial 16S ribosomal RNA". It matches the Rfam family "Bacterial small subunit ribosomal RNA", at positions 524 to 776 of the family's 1533-position model. The record is from RNAcentral.
UACGAAGGGUGCAAGCGUUACUCGGAAUUACUGGGCGUAAAGCGUGCGUAGGUGGUUCGUUAAGUCUGAUGUGAAAGCCCUGGGCUCAACCUGGGAAUGGCAUUGGAUACUGGCGACCUAGAGUGCGGUAGAGGGGUGUGGAAUUCCCGGUGUAGCAGUGAAAUGCGUAGAUAUCGGGAGGAACAUCUGUGGCGAAGGCGACACCCUGGACCAGCACUGACACUGAGGCACGAAAGCCAGGGGAGCAAACGGG